Molecule: ribosomal RNA, 471 nt
Filed under: uncultured organism
Description: bacterial SSU rRNA
Rfam family: Bacterial small subunit ribosomal RNA
Source: RNAcentral
GACGAACGCUGGCGGCGUGCCUAACACAUGCAAGUCGAACGGAGAACCAACUGUAGCAAUAUAGAUGGUUUUUAGUGGCGGACGGGUGAGUAACGCGUGAGGAACCUGCCUAGGAGUGGGGGAUAACACAGGGAAACCUGUGCUAAUACCGCAUAAUGCAAAGAGAUGGCAUCAUCUUUUUGUCAAAGAUUUAUCGCUCUUAGAUGGCCUCGCGUCUGAUUAGCUAGUUGGCGGGGUAACGGCCCACCAAGGCUGCGAUCAGUAGCCGGACUGAGAGGUUGAACGGCCACAUUGGGACUGAGACACGGCCCAGACUCCUACGGGAGGCAGCAGUGGGGAAUAUUGCGCAAUGGGGGAAACCCUGACGCAGCAACGCCGCGUGAAGGAUGAAGGUUUUCGGAUUGUAAACUUCUUUGACGAGGGACGAAAAAAAUGACGGUACCUCGAAAACAAGCCACGGCUAACUACGUG